RNAcentral lists this ribosomal RNA (422 nucleotides) under uncultured bacterium. RNAcentral describes it as "bacterial SSU rRNA". It matches the Rfam family "Bacterial small subunit ribosomal RNA", at positions 355 to 774 of the family's 1533-position model. The record is from RNAcentral.
UAAGGAAUAUUGGUCAAUGGACGCGAGUCUGAACCAGCCAUGCCGCGUGAAGGAUUAAGGCCCUCUGGGUUGUAAACUUCUUUUAUAGGGGAAGAAAUGUGACGGUUCUCCGUCACUUGACGGUACCCUGGGAAUAAGCACCGGCUAACUACGUGCCAGCAGCCGCGGUAAUACGUAGGGGGCAAGCGUUGUCCGGAUUUACUGGGUGUAAAGGGUGCUCAGGCGGAUUUGUAAGUCAGAGGUGAAAUCUUACAGCUUAACUGUGAAACUGCCUUUGAUACUGCAAGCCUAGAGUAUGGAAGAGAGUGAUGGAAUAUCUGGUGUAGCAGUGAAAUGCGUAGAUAUCAGAUAGAACACCAAUGGCGAAGGCAGUCACUUGGGCCGUUACUGACGCUAAAGCACGAAAGCGUGGGUAGCAAACA